AAUACCAGUUUGUGUUGAAAUCUUGUUGCCUGUAAGGAGGGAAGCGUGAGAUACGAUUUUAUUUUUUAUGUUACUUGAAAAAUUAAUAAUAAGAGAUAUAAUAAUGAAAAUUUAACAAUUACCAAAGACCACGAUUGUGAAGCCAAUCACAAAUACACGUUUGAGCACAUUGCCAACUGCAUGGGUAAGAGGGGCAACCCUUUCCAAA
Molecule: unclassified non-coding RNA, 208 nt
Filed under: Hevea brasiliensis (rubber tree)
Lineage: Eukaryota; Viridiplantae; Streptophyta; Magnoliopsida; Malpighiales; Euphorbiaceae
Source: RNAcentral